Molecule: microRNA, 22 nt
Filed under: Bombyx mori (domestic silkworm)
Lineage: Eukaryota; Metazoa; Arthropoda; Insecta; Lepidoptera; Bombycidae
Description: bmo-miR-2760-3p
Source: miRBase by way of RNAcentral
UUUUUGGUUGUUAAGUUCCAUU